UGUUGUGUACAUAUAUGCUCUGUCUUUGCACAGUCAACAUGAUAGAAACUAUUAGAGAACUCAUUGAUAUUGUUAAUAAACUAUUUCCAGGCAUUGGGACAAUUGAAAUGUCAACAAAUUAGACUUUCCUGGUGUGUUUGUACCUGCAGAGGUCCUGGUACCACAGACUUGCCUCUUUCUCCUUCACCACCGCCGCCGUCGUCGUCGUCGCUCCGGAGCGGAACAGCAAACAUCCCGCACAAGCCACCAAGCAAAGCAGCCGCCCGAGAGGCGAGCCACGCCGGCCGUGCUUCGGUAAAAUCAUGCUCGAGCAGGCUGACGGUUCAGCAGGACGACAUGAUCAGCGCGCGACGAGAAGAGGAGAAUCGCUCGGAAGGAAGUGAAUGCACCACAUGAUCGCAACGUCACAUGACUGGCGUGUUGCUCGGGCGCGCGGCCUUCAUGGAACCUGGGACAUUCGUGCACGGCCUCUUCGUGAAGCCAACACAUACUGCUGUAGUAUUGGAAAGGGGGGAAACAUUUCUCAACAGAUAACGUGGGGGAAAAAAUCUGAUCAAAACAUGUAAAUUAACAAUUAACAAUAAAUUAACCACCCGGCUAGCUUGAUCACUGUCAUUUAGCAAGUACAAUUGUACACAGUAGGCAACAUAUUUGCGCCUUUGCUCCCUGACGUCAAAAAUAAAUGCACAUUUUUUAAAUUGUGUUCAAGUGGACCUUAACGGAGAGUUUGCGAUUAAAAAAAUAAAAUCCAUUUUUGUAUUUUUUUAACUGUCAGUAUGAACUGACAAGUACAUAAAGAAAAUGAUCUUUUAAAAAAAAGCCUUCUGUGGGCCCCACUUAUACCGCUAUUUUUAUUUUUAAGAAGCCACCGCGCCCGAGGAAAAACAACCAAUCAGUGAUAAAAGGUGUGACUGACGACGUAUCAAAAUCUUUCUCGUACACUUUGUGAUGAUGUUGCCACCCGUUACUUUGGGCUUGAGGAGCUUUGCUUCAAACUGUGGUGGAAUGUCAACCUCCAGUUGAAAAGAAGGAAUGGCAUAUGUGCACCAGCACCCAGAAGCACUUCCAGUUUAACCGGUUAUCGGCAAAUUAGUUUCUGGUUAGGAGCCAUUCAAAAUGAACGGAGAGAAAAAUCUAAUUUAAAGUGCUUUAUCCGACAGAAAAAUGAGUAAAUAUAAUGUGAAGGAUACUUUUAAGUUCCAUAAAAUGAUGGGUGGCUCAAAUGAGCUUUGCUGAGUGCCACUUUGAACCUAUUAUAGCGAAAAUUCGCUUCCUUUUCCCAAAAUUGUGUAGUUAAUCUCUCCAAUUUGAGUGCCGAGAACGGGCCUUGUCUUAUAGCGCCCCCUGUUGGAGGAAAACUGUCCCAACUGACUCAGCUGCCCCAACGUGACCUAAUUUCUUUUUUUCCCCCUCCAGUGAAUCACUGUGACGUGUUUGCACACGUCUACCCUUUCAGUCUCGCAAGGGAAAAUAUAAGCUUGAGACCCAAAACUGCAAGGAGGCCGGAGAAUGGAAUGAAUCGAACAGAUGGACUCCAACGCUAUUCCAGCAACGCAAGUCCGUCCAGACGAGUGCUGGUCACUCGUCACUGUCAGGGGAAGUAUAUACAACUGUACAAACAAUUACAAACAAUGCAACUGGUCGCCGGUCAUUUGCAGGCCAAGUCAAGACAGUUCAUGAUGAUGAUAGGGCACACGUUGUGCAGAGAACGUGCAAACGUCACACAGGGAGGCCGGAGCUGUACGUACAUGUACAUAAUAAAAAUAUAUAUUUAAAAAAAAAAAAAAAGCUAGCAUCAGAUCAGACGAGGGCAGCAUACCUCAAUUUCUGUCACAACUGUCAGUUUCAGAUCUGCUGCUACACUGACUCAUUAGUUAACGUUAGAGCGUAGGAGUUUGUUUGCACAAUUUUGUCUCUAUUUGCGCCGAAGAAAGAUUCGUAAUUCGUGUACACUUGUCAUCAUACAUUUAAAAAUAUUUAUGGAUAUGUAUACAGAGACAUGCCUUCACUCCGGCGAGGCAUGAUGAUACCAGAAGGUGCAGGCAACGACUCGUAUGCUGAAAAACAACUCCAAAUAGUUUUGUGCAGCGUUGGUGUGCGCGUGAUAAAUGAUUGCCUCGUAAAGCCCAUUUAAACCUACCGAAUUUGUAGUCUUUCAUCUUUUCGAAUGGCAAAUGCAAAUAUCCUGGUGGUAGAGGUGCACAAACAAGUCUUGAAUUUACUUGAAAGCCUGGGAAAAAAACAACGUUGUUUUGAAUUUGCAAGUGAGCAGAAAUUUUGCAUGAAGUGCUGAACUCCAGAGGAAAACCAUGAGACCGACUGCAUGUAGAAAUGUUUAAAUUUCAACUUAAGACAAUUUAUACACUUUGGCAUUUGGUUAAAUCACACCUAGUAAGCAAUGAGUGGGGAUUUUGGCCUGUUUUACUGUCGCUUCACCUCUGUCCUUCCCCCUUCUCCUGUGGUGGUGGCAACGAUCGACGUGAGGCUGUUGCUGUAAGGAUUCUGCGUCGACCGACGGCAUGUGAGGAGGACCGCGUCCCUGUUUUUGGUUUUGUUUUUUUCAAGCAGAGGGGGAUCAUCGCCUGAACACACAAAUCAGAUUUUAGUGGAACAAAAUCUGAGAUUGGUCUCAGAGACUUACCUGAGUGACAUACCUCGGUGUGAAGGGCAGGAAGUAUUCAAAGACAAAAAAAAAAAGCAAAGACAAAAUCUGCUUUUAGUAAUGUUUGCUUUUUCUCAAGUGAACAGGAAGAAAAAAAAAUAGAUUGAAA
Long non-coding RNA from Phycodurus eques (leafy seadragon), 2771 nucleotides. RefSeq lists it as uncharacterized. The record is from RefSeq and is a predicted model, not a curated record. The transcript is spliced from 3 exons. NCBI's taxonomy places the organism in Eukaryota, Metazoa, Chordata, Actinopteri, Syngnathiformes, Syngnathidae.